GACGAACGCUGGCGGCGUGCUUAACACAUGCAAGUCGAACGGAAAGGCCCUGCUUUUGUGGGGUGCUCGAGUGGCGAACGGGGGAGUAACAAGUGAGUAACCAGCCCUUGACUUUGGGAUAACUUCAGGAAACUGGGGAUAAUACAGGAUAGGAGCUCCUGCUGCAUGGUGGGGGUGGGAAAGGUUCGGCGGUUGGGGAUGGACUCGCGGCUUAUCAGCUUGGUGGUGGGGUAGUGGCUUACGAAGGCUUUGUCGGGUAGCCGGCCUGGGAGGGUGACCGGCCCCAUUGGGACUGAGGUACGGCCCAGACUCCAACGGGCGGCAUCAGUGGAGAUUAUUGCACGCUGGGCGGAAGCCUGAUUCAGCAACGCCGCGUUCGGGAUGACGGCCUUCGGGUUGUAAACCGCUUUCGCCUGUUACUAAGCGUGAUUGACGGUAAUGGGUAAAGAAGCACCGGCUAACUACGUG
Molecule: ribosomal RNA, 468 nt
Filed under: uncultured bacterium
Lineage: Bacteria
Description: partial 16S ribosomal RNA
Rfam family: Bacterial small subunit ribosomal RNA
Source: RNAcentral